GCGGAGAUGGUCUAACUCGGCAAGGCGUCCUGUUCCCACGGGAAAAUGCGGGUUCAAAUCCUAGCUCUCCGCUCCA
RNAcentral lists this transfer RNA (76 nucleotides) under Acidobacteria bacterium 13_2_20CM_57_17. RNAcentral's name for it is "tRNA-OTHER". It matches the Rfam family "tRNA". Rfam says of the family: Transfer RNA (tRNA) molecules are approximately 80 nucleotides in length. Lineage: Bacteria; Pseudomonadati; Acidobacteriota. The record is from RNAcentral. RNAcentral also lists the same sequence under 2 other names.